RNAcentral lists this ribosomal RNA (1463 nucleotides) under Saccharum spontaneum (wild sugarcane). RNAcentral describes it as "bacterial SSU rRNA". It matches the Rfam family "Bacterial small subunit ribosomal RNA". The record is from RNAcentral. Lineage: Eukaryota; Viridiplantae; Streptophyta; Magnoliopsida; Poales; Poaceae.
GCUCAGGGAGAACGUGGCGGCGAUGCUAACACAUUGCAAAGUCGAACGGGAAGUGGUUUUCCAGUGGCGAAACGGGUGAGUAAACGCGUAAGGAAACUGCCCUUGGGAGGGGAAAACAACUGGGAAACGGUUGCUAAUACCCCGUAGGCGAGGAGCAAAAGGAGAAUCCGCCCAGGAGGGGCUCGCGUCUCUGAUUAGCUAGUUGGUGAGGCAAUAGCUACCAAGGCGAUGAUCAGUAGCUGGUCCGAGAGGAUGAUCAGCCCAACUGGGACUGAGGACACGGCCCAGACUCUACGGGAGGCAGCAGUGGGGAAUUUUCCGCCAAGGGCGAAAGCCGACGGAAGCAAUGCCGCGUGGACCGGUGGAAAGCCUACGGGUCGUCACUUCUUUUCUCGGAGAAGAAAGAAAACAAUGGACGGUCUCUGGGAAUAAGCAUCGUAACUCGAUGCCCGCAAGCCGCCGGGUGGUACGACAGAGGAUGCAAGCGUACCGGAAUGAUUGGGCGUGUAAAGCGUUCUGUAGGUUGGCUUUUCAAGGUCCGCCGUUCAAAUCCCAGGGCGAAACCAUGGAAAAGGCGGUGGAGGAACUACCAAGCGGAGUACGGGAGGGGCAGAGGGAAAUUCCGGUUGGAGGGUGAAUGAAAUGCAUUGAGAUCGAAAAACAACCAACGGCGAAAAGAACUCUGCAUGGGCCGACACGACACUGAGAGACGAAAGCUAGGUGAGCAAAUGGAUUAGAGACCCAAGUAGUCCUAGCCGUAAACGAUGGAUACUAGGUUGCUGUGCGACUCGACCCGUCAGUGCUUAGCUACGCGUUCAGUAAUCCCGCCUGGGGAGUACGUUCGCAAAAUGAACUCAAGGAAUUGACGGGGGCCCGCACAAGCGGUGGAGCAUGUGUUUAAUUCGGUGCAAAGCGAAGAACCUUAACCAGGGCUUGACUGGCCGCGAAUCCUCUUGAAAAGAGAGGGGUGCCCUCGGGAAACGCGGACACUUGGUGCAUGGCUGUCGUCAGCUCGUGCCGUAAGUGUUGGGUUAAUUCUCCGCACGACGCAACCCUCGUGUUUAUGCCACUUAUGAGUUUUGACCUGCCAGACCGCCGGUGUUAGCCGGAGGAAGGAGAGGAUGAGGCCAAGUCAUCAUGCCCCUUAAUGCCCUGGUCGACACACGUGCUACAUGGGCGGGACAGUGUCGCGAUCUCUCGCGAGGGUGAGCUAACUCCAAAAACCGUCCUCAGUCGGAUUGCAGCUGUCAAGACUCCCUGCAAUGAGCAUGAACGCUAGUAUCGCCGUCAGCCAUACGGCGGUGAAUCCGUUCCCGGGCCUUGUACACACCGCCCGUCACACUUAGGAGCUGGCCAAGGUUUGGAAGUCAUUACCCUUAACCGUAGGAGGGGGAUGCCUAAGGCUAGGCUUGCGACUGGAUGAAGUCGUAACAAAGGUAGCCGUACUGGAAGGUUUGCGGCUG